AGGGCACCACCAGGAGUGGAGCCUGCGGCUUAAUUUGACUCAACAUGGGAAAACUCACCCGGCCCGGACACCGUAAGGAUUGACAGACUGAGAGCUCUUUCUUAAUUCGGUGGGUGGUGGUGCAUGGCCGUUCUUAGUUGGUGGAGCGAUUUGUCUGGUUAAUUCCGAUAACGAACGAGACUCUGGCCUAUUAAAUAGACGAUAUAUCUAUCUAGUAUAUCGCGCUUCUUAGAGGGACAAGCGGCGUCCAGCCGCAUGAAAUAGAGCAAUAACAGGUCUGUGAUGCCCUUAGAUGUCCGGGGCUGCACGCGCGCUACACUGAAAGAAUCAGCGUGCGUUUUACCUAGUUCGGAAGAACCGGGUAACCCAAGUAAAUUCUUUCGUGCUUGGGAUAGGGAAUUGCAAUUAUUUCCCUUGAACGAGGAAUUCCCAGUAAAUGCGGGUCAUAAGCUCGCGUUGAUUACGUCCCUGCCCUUUGUACACACCGCCCGUCGCUACUACCGAUUGGAUGACUUAGUG
Molecule: ribosomal RNA, 519 nt
Filed under: uncultured eukaryote
Lineage: Eukaryota
Description: SSU rRNA
Rfam family: Eukaryotic small subunit ribosomal RNA
Source: RNAcentral